CUUAAAACCUUAAACAAAAUUAAAAUGGAAUGAGAUAAACUCUAUAUUCUUCAAUAGUUCCGUGGUCGAAGCAUUAUCUUGAAGAUUAAUUGUGUGUGCAAUGACUAUUCUGAAGAUUAAUUGACUUGGAUCAGAAUUCUCUAAGAAAAAUGACUAUUCUGAAUACAAUGAUCGACGAAAAUACAAUCAGUCAGAUCGACGAAGAUACAAUCAGUCAUUACUGAUGGGCUAAAAUUUGAAGAUGUUUGAUGAUACAUUUUAUAGUACCAAUGAGAAAUCGAGAAAAUUGAAAAUUGAAGGAUCAACACAGAGUUAAAGGCAAACUAAUAGAAUUAAGUUAUAAUGCAUUAAUUUUUAAGCCUUUUGAUUUAGGGCUUUCAAUGACCAUGGUCAAGUCAAAGCAUUAAAUUUGCUUUUAAAAUUUAUAAAUUUAGUAUGGGAGUCAUUUUGUGAGAAAAUUUUAGAAUAUAGGCCAAGUAAUGACACUUAAGGAGAAAAAAAGAGGCUAUAAAAACAAGUUGAAGACUACCGAAAAAAAGGUGGAUAAUCUUUCUACAUUGUUCAUCAUAAUUUCCGACAAAUGACAUAAAUACUCUCUCUUUUUUUGUAAUCGAACUACGUUUUGGCUUGAUCCCGCUUUGGAUAUGUAAAUAAUAAUGAGCCUCCUAAGUCUAGCUAUUAAUAAUAAUUAUAUGGGUGAUUUACCAUAUAAGUAACUUUUAAGUUGAGAUAUACAGACAAGGUAAGUAUAUCAGCUUCUCAACAUCUAACAACUGUUUCCUCCAAAAAGACAAAAGUAGCCCUGCAAACAAGAAAGAAAUAAUUAACUUUUGAUUGAUCACACUUACAAUCAAAGUUUUGCCUUCCAUCUUUCGAUUGAUCAGUUGUUUGAUGGCAAAUAUAUAUAUGUGGCGAGUUAUAAGCUUGAAUUGAUGAAUUGGUGAUGAAACAAGGCUCCCUUAAAUACUAGUUGGGCUACGAUUGGUAACCACACAAAAUUGGUUUGAUAUGUUUAUCACAUGCAUGCUCUAUAGACUGUCUGUACACGCUGCAUGGACCAACCUUAUAUUAUCUUAAUGACAAUAUUAUUCAGACAGACUAAGGAUAAUUUUAAUCAUCUUGUUCUUGCUAACCGUGUAAUUAUUAUGUACGCUCUCUUCUUAUAAUUUGGUUUAUAACUAUAUUAUGUCUAUAAAGUUAGUAUAUAACUUCUCGGGGUAAAAUUUUUGAACAAAGGAUUAAGAAGAUUAGUAUGAGUAGUGUGAAGAAGCAACGAAAAGAAACGUAGUUUGUUAGAACGUGUUUUGUGUUACGUAAUUAAUUUUUUUUUACCAAUUCUCUUGUGGUUUUAGCUAAGAGCUCCUGAAAUUGGUUUGAGUAAAAAAGAUCAAGACACAAUUACCAUUUAUUUAAAGUAUACGAUAUAAAAGGCAG
This 1434-nucleotide long non-coding RNA is filed under the name Capsella grandiflora. RNAcentral's name for it is "long non-coding RNA (CGRA_LNC000796)". The record is from RNAcentral. Lineage: Eukaryota; Viridiplantae; Streptophyta; Magnoliopsida; Brassicales; Brassicaceae.